AUUGAACGCUGGCGGCAUGCCUUACACAUGCAAGUCGAACGGCAGCACGGGAGCAAUCCUGGUGGCGAGUGGCGAACGGGUGAGUAAUGUAUCGGAACGUACCUUUCAGUGGGGGAUAACGUAGCGAAAGUUACGCUAAUACCGCAUAUUCUGUGUGCAGGAAAGCAGGGGAUCGCAAGACCUUGCGCUGAUUGAGCGGCCGAUAUCAGAUUAGCUAGUUGGUGAGGUAAAGGCUCACCAAGGCGACGAUCUGUAGCGGGUCUGAGAGGAUGAUCCGCCACACUGGAACUGAGACACGGUCCAGACUCCUACGGGAGGCAGCAGUGGGGAAUUUUGGACAAUGGGGGCAACCCUGAUCCAGCCAUGCCGCGUGAGUGAAGAAGGCCUUCGG
Molecule: ribosomal RNA, 391 nt
Filed under: uncultured bacterium
Lineage: Bacteria
Description: bacterial SSU rRNA
Rfam family: Bacterial small subunit ribosomal RNA
Source: RNAcentral